This 492-nucleotide ribosomal RNA is filed under the name uncultured bacterium. Its description in RNAcentral is "partial 16S ribosomal RNA". It matches the Rfam family "Bacterial small subunit ribosomal RNA", at positions 29 to 507 of the family's 1533-position model. The record is from RNAcentral.
AGUGAACGCUGGCGGUAGGCCUAACACAUGCAAGUCGAACGGCAGCACAGUAAGAGCUUGCUCUUACGGGUGGCGAGUGGCGGACGGGUGAGGAAUACAUCGGAAUCUACUUUUUCGUGGGGGAUAACGUAGGGAAACUUACGCUAAUACCGCAUACGACCUACGGGUGAAAGCAGGGGAUCUUCGGACCUUGCGCGAUUGAAUGAGCCGAUGUCGGAUUCGCUAGUUGGCGGGGUAAAGGCCCACCAAGGCGACGAUCCGUAGCGGGUCUGAGAGGAUGAUCAGCCACACUGUAAGUGAGACAGGUUAGCGACUCCUACGGGAGGAAGCAGUGGGGAAUAUUACACAAUGGACGCAAGCCUGAUCCAGCAAUACCGCGUGGGUGAAGAUGGCCUUCGGGUUGUAAAGCCCUGUUGUUGGGAAAGAAAAGCAGCAGUUUAAUACCCCGUUGUUAUGACGGUACCCAAAGAAUAAGCUCCGGCUAACUUCGUG